This 803-nucleotide ribosomal RNA is filed under the name uncultured bacterium. Its description in RNAcentral is "bacterial SSU rRNA". It matches the Rfam family "Bacterial small subunit ribosomal RNA", at positions 69 to 866 of the family's 1533-position model. The record is from RNAcentral.
GCAGCACGGGAGCAAUCCUGGUGGCGAGUGGCGAACGGGUGAGUAAUGUAUCGGAACGUGCCCAGUCGUGGGGGAUAACGUAGCGAAAGCUACGCUAAUACCGCAUACGAUCUAUGGAUGAAAGCGGGGGACCGCAAGGCCUCGCGCGAUUGGAGCGGCCGAUAUCAGAUUAGGUAGUUGGUGGGGUAAAGGCCUACCAAGCCGACGAUCUGUAGCUGGUCUGAGAGGACGACCAGCCACACUGGGACUGAGACACGGCCCAGACUCCUACGGGAGGCAGCAGUGGGGAAUUUUGGACAAUGGUAGCAAGCCUGAUCCAGCAAUGCCGCGUGCAGGAUGAAGGCCUUCGGGUUGUAAACUGCUUUUGUACGGAGCGAAAAGGCUUCCACUAAUACUGGAGGCUCAUGACGGUACCGUAAGAAUAAGCACCGGCUAACUACGUGCCAGCAGCCGCGGUAAUACGUAGGGUGCAAGCGUUAAUCGGAAUUACUGGGCGUAAAGCGUGCGCAGGCGGUCUUGUAAGACAGGUGUGAAAUCCCCGGGCUUAACCUGGGAACUGCACUUGUGACUGCAAGGCUGGAGUACGGCAGAGGGGGAUGGAAUUCCGCGUGUAGCAGUGAAAUGCGUAGAUAUGCGGAGGAACACCGAUGGCGAAGGCAAUCCCUCUGGGCCUGUACUGACGCUCAUGCACGAAAGCGUGGGGAGCAAACAGGAUUAGAUACCUCUGGUAGUCCACGCUCUAAACGAUGUCAACUGGUUGUUGGGUCUUCACUGACUCAGUAACGAAGCUAACGCGUGAAGUU